RNAcentral lists this ribosomal RNA (521 nucleotides) under Metschnikowia koreensis. RNAcentral describes it as "eukaryotic LSU rRNA". It matches the Rfam family "Eukaryotic large subunit ribosomal RNA", at positions 17 to 500 of the family's 3401-position model. The record is from RNAcentral. Lineage: Eukaryota; Fungi; Ascomycota; Pichiomycetes; Serinales; Metschnikowiaceae.
AAGACUACCCGCUGAACUUAAGCAUAUCAAUAAGCGGAGGAAAAGAAACCAACAGGGAUUGCCUCAGUAACGGCGAGUGAAGCGGCAAAAGCUCAAAUUUGAAAUCCUCCGGGAAUUGUAAUUUGAAGGUGGGGUUGAAUAGGUCUAGAUACUUUAAGUCCAUUGGAAAAUGGCGCCAUGGAGGGUGAUAGCCCCGUAAAAGUAUUCAAACCUUCUUUUCUUCCCCUCCUAAGAGUCGAGUUGUUUGGGAAUGCAGCUCUAAGUGGGUGGUAAAUUCCAUCUAAAGCUAAAUAUUGGCGAGAGACCGAUAGCGAACAAGUACAGUGAUGGAAAGAUGAAAAGCACUUUGAAAAGAGAGUGAAAAAGUACGUGAAAUUGUUGAAAGGGAAGGGCUUGCAAGCAGACACAACCUCGGUUGGGCCAGCAUCGGAGUGGGGGGAGACAAAAAAGGUUAGGAAUGUAGCUCAUCUCGAGUAUUAUAUCCUGGCCCUAUAUCUCCACCCCCUUCCGAGGCCUGCGAU